UUGAUUCAUUUGUUUAUGAUUCCACUCAGACAUGCUAUAAAAAAGAUACAAGAGUUUGAGUCCCCCGGCGGGCGCCUGUUUCCGGGGGGUCGGGCAGGGGGACCUGACGGCCACACCUGUCGUUUCCCCGGGGCAAUGACCCGCCGAAGCAACAGUAAAGGUAUAAGUUCACAGGGGUUUGGGAGUUGUAAACUCGGUAAUGAUCCCUCCGCUGGUUCACCAACGGAGA
Molecule: unclassified non-coding RNA, 229 nt
Filed under: uncultured fungus
Lineage: Eukaryota; Fungi
Description: sequence contains ITS1
Source: RNAcentral